UAAGGAAUAUUGGUCAAUGGGCGGAAGCCUGAACCAGCCAUGCCGCGUGCAGGAAGACGGCCCUAUGGGUUGUAAACUGCUUUUGCAGGGGAAUAAACCUCGUUAUGUAUAACGAGCUGAAUGUACUCUGAGAAUAAGGAUCGGCUAACUCCGUGCCAGCAGCCGCGGUAAUACGGAGGAUCCAAGCGUUAUCCGGAUUUAUUGGGUUUAAAGGGUGCGUAGGUGGCUUAUUAAGUCAGGGGUGAAAGACGGUAGCUUAACUAUCGCAGUGCCUUUGAUACUGAUGAGCUUGAAUGAACUAGAGGUAGGCGGAAUGUGACAAGUAGCGGUGAAAUGCAUAGAUAUGUCACAGAACACCAAUUGCGAAGGCAGCUUACUAUGGUUUUAUUGACACUGAGGCACGAAAGCGUGGGGAUCAAAC
Molecule: ribosomal RNA, 421 nt
Filed under: uncultured bacterium
Lineage: Bacteria
Description: bacterial SSU rRNA
Rfam family: Bacterial small subunit ribosomal RNA
Source: RNAcentral